Molecule: long non-coding RNA, 352 nt
Organism: Oncorhynchus keta (chum salmon)
Lineage: Eukaryota; Metazoa; Chordata; Actinopteri; Salmoniformes; Salmonidae
Exons: 3
Source: RefSeq, a predicted model, not a curated record
UAGAGAGAGAGAACAGAGAUGGUCAGAGGGACGGGGAGACGGAGGUAGAGAGAGAGAACAGAGAUGGUCAGACGGAGGUAGAGAGAGAGAACAGAGAUUGUCAGAGGGACGGGGAGAUGGAGGUAGAGAGAGAGAACAGAGAUGGUCAGAGGGACGGGGAGAUGGAGGUGGAGAGAGAGAACAGAGAUGGUCAGAGGGACAGGGAGACGGAGGUAGAGAGAGAGAACAGAGAUGGUCAGAGGGACGGGGAGAUGGAGGUGGAGAGAGAGAACAGAGAUGGUCAGACGGAGGUAGAGAGAGAACAGAGAUGAUCAGACGGAGGUAGAGAGAGAGAGAACAGAGAUGGUCAGAG